Molecule: long non-coding RNA, 2366 nt
Filed under: Pomacea canaliculata
Lineage: Eukaryota; Metazoa; Mollusca; Gastropoda; Architaenioglossa; Ampullariidae
Description: uncharacterized LOC112575837, transcript variant X1
Source: RNAcentral
CAAGAAAGGAAAAGGCAAGGAGAGAGAAAUAAUAAUAAUAGAAACGUAACAUACGAAAACGUUAAUCGACGAAAGUUCUCAGCAUGCAUGGAGGAUUUAAGAUAGAGAUGUGUGAGACCUCACUUUUCUCGGCACCAAGUGAACAUGAAGGCGAUGCCUACUCCCCUCCCUCGCUGUAUAACAACCUCUGACAACUUAAGCUCGAACAUACUUGAGAAAAAUAUCAAGAAAGUUGCAUGUUGGACACCGGACAGUUGCCAGAGAGAGCCUUUAAAGUAUGACAAUUUGCUUUUUGAUGAUCUUCCCACGUAUUUGACAACGUGUCAUGCAAGGUGGCCACACCAUGCAAGCUUCUGUCAUUUGAUGAUAAAGUGAUGAGGUUACUGAAGACCCAUCAGGAGGGCGACUGUGUUAUAUACGACUUGUUCAUCUUCUGUUCUUUCUGACAAAUGUGAAGGAAUCUCUUAAAUUUCGAUCACCUGGAUCCUUCGCUUUGACAUGGGGCUGUUCCGAGCGCCUCUCCUCCCUGCCUGUGUCAAAACCCGGAUUCGGGCCGUGUCACCAAAGACCGAUAUCUUCCUCUGAUAACACAGUUUCUGGAAGACAUACAUCUGCUGAACUCUGCUCAUCACAUCCCUACCCUACUACGCGAAAACCCUGUCAACAAUGUCUUAUCCGUUUUCUUCUUCAGAAGAGAAAACACUUUCUAGGCAUCCUCCGUGUGUUGAGAACAGGUCCCUACCGCCGACCGUCGAAGAUAAUUUGCUGUCAUCGAUAUCUGGUCAGCCCACAAUAGUCCAGGAGAGUAUGCUGCCAACUUUUGAUGAAGGGAAUCUGUCAAGUACACGUCGCCAGCCUCUAAAUACCGACGAGGGUUGUCUUCUUUGCAGCCGACACCUCUUGCCGAUAUGUUUAUGUCAGUCUUUUCUAGCCAUGACUGGCAGCUGCAAUCAGUGUUCAGCCGACCGUCGUCAACUGAGGAUGUGUCAUUGACACCAUUGUUUGAAAACCUCUUGUGUGUUAACUUAAAUCCAGAAAAUCCCAUGCUAGAUCGACCAGCGUCUGCUGAGGAUGAAUCAUUGAAGCCCAUGUUUAAGAAACCGUUUUAUGUUAAUUUGAAUCCGAAAACACCCGAGCUACAUCAACCAACGCCUGUUGAGGAUGGAUCACUAAACCCCAAGUUUUGUCUACCACACUCUGAUGAGUGGAGCUCACUCUCAUCCUCGUCGGAACAGCAGUCGUCUGCUGAAGUAAGUCUACUUCCAAACGUGUCUGCUCAACUGCCAUCUGCUUUACAACAGCACAGGUUGAAAACUUCUGGCUCCAGUGGGUUGAGGCCGCGUUCCCUGAUCUCGACUCACGCGCCUACUUCCUGCCUCCUGUCUACUUCAACCGCGUGCCAUGACUAGACAGUCAGCUGCUGCUCAGGAUGUUCUGAUCUUUCAACCAUCAUCUGCGCAGGGUGGUACUUUAAUGCGACUUUUAGGGAAAUUGGGAUCUUCGAAAACAUUACCACACAGACGGAAGGCGAAAACCAACAAAGUGCAAGUUUAACCCUGCCAGCAAAGAUUCAGUCUCAUGCCCCUCAGCCACCUUUUGUUCAGAAUAGUGACAUGAGAGAUGAUGCAGCUAUGCAGCGGGUUUUGUUCUGCCUAAAACAUUUGUUUAAUCAUACUAAGGAAGUCGUAGUUGUAAUAAGUCAGCUUCAGUUCGGACAGUACCUAGGUGAAACUUGUUACGCUGCCGCUGUUGCCCAGCUCCCAAUCCCUGCGAAUCUACCUCCUGGCCUCCCACAUAACUGGAAGCAGGGAGACUUUGAUGUGCUUCUUGUUCACGCAUAUUAUGGUUUACUCGUCUGUGAGGUCAAGUCCUUCGGUGACAACACCAGCGAGUUGCAUAUGACACAAGAACAAAUAGCCAGCAUCACGAGAAGAAAGCUGAGAGACGCCGUGUCACAACUGGACAAGGCGGAGGCCAUGUUGUCUCACCUGGUGUCCGACAUCGCCCCCGGUCUGCGCAUCACUAAGACCAUCGCUUUCCCAACCUCACGGCUCAUCAACUUCAACACGCCAUCUCUGCCGAUAUAAAUCUGACUCGGGACCUGUAUCGGUGUCUGGAAACAACAAAUUUCACCGACAUCGCUAGUCUUUGUCUCUGCUCUGAUCAGUUGUCGGACCCCAAAACUCCAUGGGAAAUUAGUGAGAAGCUACUAGAGAAGCUCAAAAAGUGGUGGCAUCGACGUGUUGUGAGGGUUGGUGUAGACAGUACCAUGACGAGGGACGUGUACAAGACUUUGGUAGCGAGGUUCUGCGGUCCGGCGACAUCAGUGACUGUGCCAUGCACAUGUCCUCCACGUGUGAGUGUCA